CCUUAUAACAAAUUCCAGGGUGGCGCCUGAGAAAAAUGCAUGUUUUCUUUUUCAGGGCAAUGAAGCUCUACUGGAUUCUACUGAAACUUCUCUUUCUAACUGUGCUGACAUCCGGAACGUCAAGCCCCUAUCAGGUGGAAUUACACCUGGGUAAUUAUAAAUGAGGCCCGAGAUACAGCCUUUACCACCUCCCACACUGGCCCUAACCCCACCUGGCCACAAUUAAGUCCAGAUUUAUGUAAACUACCUGCAGGAGGAAAUUCUUACUGGGGUCUUGCAGACAAAUACUUACCCCUAGAUAAAGUCCCUCAUGGGUCUAGUUUUAACGAAAGAUAUGUCAGUUGUGACACUGUCCAUUGACGCACCAACAUUAGGGAAACUGACUUUUACAUCUGCCCUGAAUCCCACAGAGAUCGCUCCCUAAACUAUAAGUGUGGAUACAGGGAUCAAUUCAAUUGUGCCUCCUGGGGGUGUGAAACCACAGGAGAUACUUACUGACUGGAAUCCCUCAUCCACAUGGGAUUAUAUCACCGUGGAUGUGGAUACACAAAAUAAACCUCACCACUGCACCAGUUGGUGCAACCCCUUGAUGAUUAAUUUCACUCCCCAAGGAAAUGCAAAAGAUUGGACAAAGGAGCCACGAGGCCUCUCCUGGGGCCUUUGCCUCUAUCUGAGUGGCUAUGACCAGGGACUCUAUUUUACCAUAAAGUUACUCAAAGCUGUCCCUAGCACAUACAGGGCUUCUAUUGGACCAAACCCUGUUCUUCAUAAUUUUGUUCCCUCUCUGCCUAAAAAAGGCUCAGAGCCCAAAAACCCGGUGGCCACACAGGCCCCACAAGAUUCCCUCGUGGGUACUGUCUCUCAGCCAACCAUUCCUCCAGGCCCUAUGCCAUCCUCCAGAGUCAUACUUUCCAUCCUUAAUGCAUCUGCCUCAGCUUUACUUCUCCAAGAGCAGAUGAACAAUUCCUCCAAAUAUGUGGAAUGUUGGAUGUGCUUUUCUGCCUCCCCUCCAUUUUAUGAAGGCAUUGCACUUUUUGGAGAAUUUAUUUAUUCCAAUGAAUCCAAUGUCCUAUAUGGAGGCUCUUUAGGAUUUACCCUCACUGAGGUAUCCGGGGUGGGAAGUUGUAUUUUGGGAGAACAUAUGCUCCCUCCUCACCAGCUGUUAGAAAUAUGCAACCAUACCUUGGUUGUUAACAAACAUCAUGAGUACCUGCUCGCCCCAAACCAUACCUAUCUGGCAUGUUCAUCAGGGCUGAAUACCUAUGUAAUAAUAUCUGAUUUCUUACAGCAGCGCGAUUAUUACGUAUUAGUACAAUUACUCCCCAGACUCAGCAUUCAUGAGCCACAAGAUAUCUUGGAUUUUUGGGAUAGAAACCCUGGUGCAGCCCAUCGAGAGAAGAGAGAGCCUAUAUCGGCCAUCACUCUCGCAGUCCUCUUGGGGUUAGGGACAGCAGGGACAGGAAAAGGCAUCGCUUCUCUUGUGACUUCCCAACAAAAUCAACAACGCUAUCAUUUACUCAGCGCUGCAAUUGACCAGGACCUAGCUGAGCUGAGAGAGGGCUUAGCCAAUUUAAAAGAUUCUGUUGCCUCCCUUUCAGAAGUAGUACUGCAAAAUAGAAGAGAGCUUGAUUUGCUCUUCCUACAACAAGGAGGACUUUGUGCAGCCUUAAAAGAGAAUGCUGUGUUUAUGUAGAUAAGACUGGACUUGUAGAAACAGUCUAAGAAAAGUGAGAGAUAGCCUGGAAAAACAAAAAAGGGAGAGAGAGCAACAGGAGUCCUGGUAUAAAAACUGGUUCUCCACAUCCCCAUGGCCCUCUACCCUGCUGCCUUCAAUUUUGGGACCCCUUGUGGGCCUAUUUUUGUUGAUUUCCUUCGGUCCUUGGGCCUUUCAGCAACUUACACGCUUUAUUAAAUCACAAAUAGAUUCUGCUUUGCCUAGAAAUUCUGUUUCAGUACAUUAUCAUCGCUUGGAGACGGGAACAGCUGAGGAGAACCAGAGAGACAACGAACAAGAUGAGGUGCCCACUACAUAUCGGGAGAGGCUCAAUUUCCACAAUCUCUUAAAUUAAUGCCAUCUGGCCCCUACUCUUUCGCCUCUGGGC
This 2102-nucleotide long non-coding RNA is filed under the name Rattus norvegicus (Norway rat). RNAcentral describes it as "long non-coding RNA NONRATT016137". The record is from RNAcentral. Lineage: Eukaryota; Metazoa; Chordata; Mammalia; Rodentia; Muridae.